Molecule: ribosomal RNA, 283 nt
Filed under: uncultured bacterium
Lineage: Bacteria
Description: partial 16S ribosomal RNA
Rfam family: Bacterial small subunit ribosomal RNA
Source: RNAcentral
GCCAUUAGUUGCCAUCAUUAAGUUGGGCACUCUAGUGGGACUGCCGGUGAUAAGCCGGAGGAAGGUGGGGAUGACGUCAAGUCAUCAUGGCCCUUACGGGCUGGGCUACACACGUGCUACAAUGGCGGUGACAGUGGGCAGCCACUCCGCGAGGAGGAGCUAAUCCCAAAAAGCCGUCUCAGUUCGGAUUGUUCUCUGCGACUCGAGAGCAUGAAGUCGGAAUCGCUAGUAAUCGUGGAUCAGCAUGCCACGGUGAAUACGUUCCCGGGCCUUGUACACACCG